GACGAACGCUGGCGGCGUGCUUAACACAUGCAAGUCGAACGGAAAGGCCUCUUUCGGGGGGUACUCGAGUGGCGAACGGGUGAGUAACACGUGAGUAACCUGCCCUUGACUUUGGGAUAACUUCAGGAAACUGGGGCUAAUACCGGAUAGGAGCUCCUGCUGCAUGGUGGGGGUUGGAAAGUUUCGGCGGUUGGGGAUGGACUCGCGGCUUAUCAGCUUGUUGGUGGGGUAGUGGCUUACCAAGGCGUUGACGGGUAGCCGGCCCGAGAGGGUGACCAGGCACAUUGGGACUGGGAGACGGCCCAGACCCCUACGGGUGGGAGAAGGGGGGAAGAUUGCACAAGGGGUGGAAGCCUGAUGCAGCAGCGCCGUGGGCGGGAUGACGGGCUUCGGGUUGGAAACCGCUUUCGCUCAUGCCGAAGCUUUGUGUGACGGUAGUGGGUGAAGAAGCACCGGCUAACUACGUG
RNAcentral lists this ribosomal RNA (467 nucleotides) under uncultured bacterium. RNAcentral's name for it is "partial 16S ribosomal RNA". It matches the Rfam family "Bacterial small subunit ribosomal RNA", at positions 28 to 507 of the family's 1533-position model. The record is from RNAcentral.